CGCCGCCGCCGCCGCCUCGUUCGCUGCGCGGACCUCCCGCCCCCCGCUCCACGCGCUCUCUUUCAUCCAGAGAAGCCCUGGGCCGGAUGCCCACUACCCAAGGGGCAUCGGGGAGCCUCUGCGCCCUGGACACAAUAGCUCUCCAACUGGACAGUGUCAAUCAGCGUCGUCUGAGAGGACCCCGGAAAUGCCUGUGUCCCACCUGUCCCCGCAGGCGGUGAUGAAGCCCCCCUGCCCCAGCCCGAGCUACCUGUGAACAGCGCCCAGCGGGGCCGGGCCCCUCGCUGGUGACCCUGAACGCCGCCCCAGCCCCGCCGUGAGAAUUCAGCGAAGAAAGCUGAAGAAAAGUUGCGUGUCUCAGGCUGAGCAAAGUGGGGUGAGGGCUCCCCCGCUAGGAACAGCUGCCCUUAGGGAGCCCCCCCCCACGAUGGAACAGCUCUCGGCUUUAGAAGGUCGCCACUCCCUUGCACUCAGGAGACUCAAAUCUGAUUCCCUGCUCCGCCUGCCUUCCACCAUUGGUCAGCUUUACCAUGCGUUUCUCAAGACCCAAGGCACAGUAGGCGUAAAGUUGUCCUGAAACGGACAACACGAGUGUCAGAAGUAGGAAUGGCAGUCGACGGAGCUUGGUCUGGCAAUAGAAAGCCGAAGUGACAGGCAAGCACAAAAUAUAUGAAUAAGGCAAAGCUCUGCAUGAGCCAAAUAUCAAACUUUCAUCUCCUACCCACUUUGUUUUUGCUUAAAAACAGGAAGACAGACUAUCUUGUCAAGGGUCACCCCAGGAGGAGCAGUAAAUUCCCCAAAAAAGCAGAACAUAUUUUUAUGAUUUAAUUAACGCAGUUGCUCUC
Molecule: non-coding RNA, 845 nt
Organism: Saimiri boliviensis boliviensis (Bolivian squirrel monkey)
Lineage: Eukaryota; Metazoa; Chordata; Mammalia; Primates; Cebidae
Source: RefSeq, a predicted model, not a curated record